AGGCCGAAAGGCGUAGUCGAUGGGAAACAGGUUAAUAUUCCUGUACUUGGUGUUACUGCGAAGGGGGGACGGAGAAGGCUAUGUUAGCCGGGCGACGGUUGUCCCGGUUUAAGCAUGUAGGCUGAUUGUCCAGGCAAAUCCGGAUAAUCAAGGCUGAGGUGUGAUGACGAGGCACUACGGUGCUGAAGUAACAAAUGCCCUGCUUCCAGGAAAAGCCUCUAAGCAUCAGGUAACAUCAAUUCGUACCCCAAA
Molecule: ribosomal RNA, 252 nt
Filed under: Klebsiella pneumoniae
Lineage: Bacteria; Pseudomonadati; Pseudomonadota; Gammaproteobacteria; Enterobacterales; Enterobacteriaceae
Description: partial 23S ribosomal RNA
Rfam family: Bacterial large subunit ribosomal RNA
Source: RNAcentral